UAGACGUGGUGAAGGAUUGAGUG
RNAcentral lists this microRNA (23 nucleotides) under Homo sapiens (human). RNAcentral's name for it is "hsa-miR-6863". The record is from miRBase by way of RNAcentral. Lineage: Eukaryota; Metazoa; Chordata; Mammalia; Primates; Hominidae.